GUGGGGAAUCUUCCGCAAUGGACGAAAGUCUGACGGAGCAACGCCGCGUGAGUGAAGAAGGUUUUCGGAUCGUAAAGCUCUUUCGUUAGGGACGAACGUGCUCUUUGUGAAUAAUGAGGAGUAAUGACGGUACCUUAAGAGGAAGCCCCGGCUAACUACGUGCCAGCAGCCGCGGUAAGACGUAGGGGGCGAGCGUUGUCCGGAAUUAUUGGGCGUAAAGCGCGCGCAGGCGGGAUAUCAAGUCUGUCUUAAAAGUGCGAGGCUCAACCUCGUGAGGGGACAGAAACUGGUAUUCUUGAGUGUCGGAGAGGAAAGUGGAAUUCCAAGUGUAGCGGUGAAAUGCGUAGAGAUUUGGAAGAACACCAGUGGCGAAGGCGACUUUCUGGACGAUGUCUGACGCUGAGGCGCGAAAGCUAGGGGAGCGAACGGGAUUAGAAACCCUGGUAGUCC
This 450-nucleotide ribosomal RNA is filed under the name uncultured bacterium. RNAcentral's name for it is "partial 16S ribosomal RNA". It matches the Rfam family "Bacterial small subunit ribosomal RNA", at positions 354 to 796 of the family's 1533-position model. The record is from RNAcentral.